GUAGCUAUGUGUGGACGGGAUAAGUGCUGAAAGCAUCUAAGCAUGAAGCCCCCCUCAAGAUGAGAUUUCCCAACUUCGGUUAUAAGAUCCCUCAAAGAUGAUGAGGUUAAUAGGUUCGAGGUGGAAGCAUGGUGACAUGUGGAGCUGACGAAUACUAAUCGAUCGAAGACUUAAUCAA
RNAcentral lists this ribosomal RNA (178 nucleotides) under Staphylococcus aureus. Its description in RNAcentral is "partial 23S ribosomal RNA". It matches the Rfam family "Bacterial large subunit ribosomal RNA", at positions 2745 to 2925 of the family's 2925-position model. Lineage: Bacteria; Bacillati; Bacillota; Bacilli; Caryophanales; Staphylococcaceae. The record is from RNAcentral.